This 667-nucleotide ribosomal RNA is filed under the name uncultured cyanobacterium. RNAcentral describes it as "bacterial SSU rRNA". It matches the Rfam family "Bacterial small subunit ribosomal RNA", at positions 99 to 795 of the family's 1533-position model. Lineage: Bacteria; Bacillati; Cyanobacteriota. The record is from RNAcentral.
CGGACGGGUGAGUAACGCGUGAGAAUUUGCCUUUAGGAGGGGGACAACAACUGGAAACGGUUGCUAAUACCCCAUAUGCUUUCGAGUGAAAUGGAUUUUUCCGCCUAAAGAGAAGCUUGCGGCUGAUUAGCUUGUUGGUGAGGUAAUGGCUCACCAAGGCGACGAUCAGUAUCUGGUUUGAGAGGACGAUCAGACACACUGGAACUGAGACACGGUCCAGACUCCUACGGGAGGCAGCAGUGGGGAAUUUUCCGCAAUGGGCGAAAGCCUGACGGAGCAAUACCGCGUGAGGGAUGACGGCCUAUGGGUUGUAAACCUCUUUUUUCAGGGAGGAAUCAAAUGACGUGUACCUGAAGAAUAAGCAUCGGCUAACUCCGUGCCAGCAGCCGCGGUAAGACGGAGGAUGCAAGUGUUAUCCGGAAUCACUGGGCGUAAGGCGUCUGUAGGUGGUCCAAUAAGUCAACUGUUAAAUCUUGAGGCUCAACCUCAAAAUCGCAGUCGAAACUAUUAGACUAGAGUAUAGUAGGGGUAAAGGGAAUUUCCAGUGGAGCGGUGAAAUGCGUAGAGAUUGGAAAGAACACCGAUGGCGAAGGCACUUUACUGGGCUAUUACUAACACUCAGAGACGAAAGCUAGGGUAGCAAAUGGGAUUAGAUACCCCAGUAGUC